Molecule: ribosomal RNA, 450 nt
Filed under: uncultured bacterium
Lineage: Bacteria
Description: bacterial SSU rRNA
Rfam family: Bacterial small subunit ribosomal RNA
Source: RNAcentral
AACGAACGCUGGCGGCAGGCCUAACACAUGCAAGUCGAACGCCCUAGCAAUAGGGAGUGGCAGACGGGUGAGUAACACGUGGGAACCUUCCCUAUAGUACGGAAUAGCCCAGGGAAACUUGGAGUAAUACCGUAUACGCCCGAAAGGGGAAAGAUUUAUCGCUAUAGGAUGGGCCCGCGUAGGAUUAGCUAGUUGGUGAGGUAAUGGCUCACCAAGGCGACGAUCCUUAGCUGGUUUGAGAGAACGACCAGCCACACUGGGACUGAGACACGGCCCAGACUCCUACGGGAGGCAGCAGUGGGGAAUAUUGGACAAUGGGCGCAAGCCUGAUCCAGCCAUGCCGCGUGAGUGAUGAAGGCCUUAGGGUUGUAAAGCUCUUUUGCCGGGGACGAUAAUGACGGUACCCGGAGAAUAGGUCCCGGCUAACUUCGUGCCAGCCGCCGCAGUAAU